Molecule: ribosomal RNA, 757 nt
Filed under: Bacillus paramycoides
Lineage: Bacteria; Bacillati; Bacillota; Bacilli; Caryophanales; Bacillaceae
Description: bacterial SSU rRNA
Rfam family: Bacterial small subunit ribosomal RNA
Source: RNAcentral
CGUGCCUAAUACAUGCAAGUCGAGCGAAUGGAUUAAGAGCUUGCUCUUAUGAAGUUAGCGGCGGACGGGUGAGUAACACGUGGGUAACCUGCCCAUAAGACUGGGAUAACUCCGGGAAACCGGGGCUAAUACCGGAUAACAUUUUGAACCGCAUGGUUCGAAAUUGAAAGGCGGCUUCGGCUGUCACUUAUGGAUGGACCCGCGUCGCAUUAGCUAGUUGGUGAGGUAACGGCUCACCAAGGCAACGAUGCGUAGCCGACCUGAGAGGGUGAUCGGCCACACUGGGACUGAGACACGGCCCAGACUCCUACGGGAGGCAGCAGUAGGGAAUCUUCCGCAAUGGACGAAAGUCUGACGGAGCAACGCCGCGUGAGUGAUGAAGGCUUUCGGGUCGUAAAACUCUGUUGUUAGGGAAGAACAAGUGCUAGUUGAAUAAGCUGGCACCUUGACGGUACCUAACCAGAAAGCCACGGCUAACUACGUGCCAGCAGCCGCGGUAAUACGUAGGUGGCAAGCGUUAUCCGGAAUUAUUGGGCGUAAAGCGCGCGCAGGUGGUUUCUUAAGUCUGAUGUGAAAGCCCACGGCUCAACCGUGGAGGGUCAUUGGAAACUGGGAGACUUGAGUGCAGAAGAGGAAAGUGGAAUUCCAUGUGUAGCGGUGAAAUGCGUAGAGAUAUGGAGGAACACCAGUGGCGAAGGCGACUUUCUGGUCUGUAACUGACACUGAGGCGCGAAAGCGUGGGGAGCAAACAGGAUUA